Molecule: long non-coding RNA, 145 nt
Organism: Phyllostomus discolor (pale spear-nosed bat)
Lineage: Eukaryota; Metazoa; Chordata; Mammalia; Chiroptera; Phyllostomidae
Exons: 3
Source: RefSeq, a predicted model, not a curated record
ACCCACUAGAAGCCAAUAGUGAGAGAGAGCCAACAUACUCAAAAUAUCCAAAUCAGUAAAGUUAUUGGUGAAAAUGAAAAAUGUGUUUUAUUUUAUGGAAAAAACCUAAACAGGCUUUUUGGCCAAUACAAUAAAUGAGUUUUUA